CGGGUGAGUAAUGCGUGACCAACCUCGCCCCAUGCUCCAGAAUAGCUCUUGGAAACGGGUGGUAAUGCUGGAUGCUCCAACUUGACGCAUGUCUUGUUGGGAAAGUGUUUAGUGGCAUGGGAUGGGGUCGCGUCCUAUCAGCUUGUAGGCGGGGUAAUGGCCCACCUAGGCUUCGACGGGUAGCCGGCCUGAGAGGGCGGACGGCCACAUUGGGACUGAGAUACGGCCCAGACUCCUACGGGAGGCAGCAGCC
Molecule: ribosomal RNA, 253 nt
Filed under: uncultured Gardnerella sp.
Lineage: Bacteria; Bacillati; Actinomycetota; Actinomycetes; Bifidobacteriales; Bifidobacteriaceae
Description: partial 16S ribosomal RNA
Rfam family: Bacterial small subunit ribosomal RNA
Source: RNAcentral